AUUGAACGCUGGCGGCAUGCCUUACACAUGCAAGUCGAACGACGCCAGGGGGCAACUCCUGGCGAGUGGCGAACGGGUGAGUAAUACAUCGGAACGUGCCCUGUAGUGGGGGAUAACUAGUCGAAAGAUUAGCUAAUACCGCAUACGACCUGAGGGUGCAAGUGGGGGACCGCCAUGCCUCAUGCUAUAGGAGUGGCCGAUGUCUGAUUAGCUAGUUGGUGGGGUAAAGGCCUACCAAGGCGACGAUCAGUAGCUGGUCUGAGAGGACGAUCAGCCACACUGGGACUGAGACACGGCCCAGACUCCUACGGGAGGCAGCAGUGGGGAAUUUUGGACAAUGGGCGAAAGCCUGAUCCAGCAAUGCCGCGUGUGUGAAGAAGGCCUUCGGGUUGUAAAGCACUUUUGUCCGGAAAGAAAUGGCUCUGGUUAAUACCUGGGGUCGAUGACGGUACCGGAAGAAUAAGGACCGGCUAACUACGUGCCAGCCGCCGCAGUAA
This 497-nucleotide ribosomal RNA is filed under the name uncultured bacterium. RNAcentral's name for it is "partial 16S ribosomal RNA". It matches the Rfam family "Bacterial small subunit ribosomal RNA", at positions 30 to 523 of the family's 1533-position model. The record is from RNAcentral.